CCUACGGGUGGCAGCAGUAGGGAAUUUUCGGCAAUGGGGGGAACCCUGACCGAGCAACGCCGCGUGAAGGAAGAAGGAAUUAGGUCUGUCAACUUCUGUUAUAAAGGAAGAAAGACGGAUGGAGGAAAUGACAUCCGAGUGACGGUACUUUAUGAGAAAGCCACGGCUAACUACGUGCCAGCAGCCGCGGUAAUGCGUAGGUGGCAAGCUUUAUCCGUAAUUAUUGGGCGUAAAGAGGGAGCAGUCGGCAGCAAAGGUCUGUGGUGAAAGACUGAAGCUUAACGUCAGUAAGCCAUAGAGACUGGGCAGCUAGAGUGCAGGAGAGGAUCGUGGAAUUCGAUGUGUAGCGGUGAAAUGCGUAGAUAUAUGGAGGAACACCAGUUGCGAAGGCGACGAUCUGGCCUGCAACUGACGCUCAGUCCCGAAAGCGUGGGGAGCAAAUAGGAUUAGAUACCCCGGUAGUC
Molecule: ribosomal RNA, 464 nt
Filed under: uncultured bacterium
Lineage: Bacteria
Description: partial 16S ribosomal RNA
Rfam family: Bacterial small subunit ribosomal RNA
Source: RNAcentral